CAUCAGUGCAUGAAUAGACAAUAGAGGAUCAAGAAACAGACCUAUGUAUAUUUUGAAAUUUGGUAUACAAUAGGUGACAUUUCAAAUCAGAAUGGAGAAAUGAUGCUUCAGUAAGUGAUCUUGGAAGGACUGGCUAUCCACAUGGAAUGAAGCAGAUCCUUUCCUCAUACUGUGCACAAAAAUAAGUUUUUAUGUGUGAAGGAUCUAAACUUUUUUUUUAAGUUAUAGGGAAAAAAUUAGAAAAGAGUAGGCUUUUAAAGCAGGAUUAAAUAAUACAAAAGCAAAACUUAUAGCAAAAUAAUUAGUCUAUAUAAAGAUUUAAAUCUUUUGUACAAGUGACACCAUAACCAAAAUUAAGACAUGCUGUUGACAGCAACCCCUAAAUUGAGCAAAGAGGAAACAUAAUUUGCAGAAGAAACCAAAUCCUAAAGUACAGGAUAAAGUGCUCAAAAUCAUUAGUAAUCACAACAAAAUAAAACAGUAAUGACCUAUCACUUUGUACUAUUAGGCUGGCCAAUAAAAAGAAACAAAGAAAGCUGGAUGAUGCCGAGUGUGCAGACGCAUAGAGAUAUGCGACACAAUGAUGGAAGCUGCCUCUACCUGGCUCGCAUCUGAACAUCUUUGGCCAAUCCAAGCUUUCCAGAUUCCAAACAACGUCCUUACCAACCGUAGAUCUCACGAGCAACUUCCGACCUGCUGAGUUCUAGGAUCAAGAAGGAGGGCAGCUUGUGCCACAGUUGGGGUCUUCUCUGGACCCUUGGGAAUUUGACAGCCUCUGGGGUUAUCCAAUAAAUGAAUCAGAGUAUUCCUAACUUUGGUACUUGUUUCCUCCAAAUUCAAAUUCCAAAGAGACCCACAAUGUAUUAUUUUCAUUGUUGUUAUUUAAGUGGAGAGAUAUUUCAAGUGCAGCAGCUUGCCCAUCACCUGUGAAGAAACAUCCCUACCUGACCUUGAUCUACCCAGUGCCAGGAAAUAGCCAUAAGUUCCUUUGAGAAAUGGUUGCAGGAAUAUUUACUGUGUACAUUUGCGUGGAGUUACAGGAGUGUUACUAAAGGGGGACUGACCUUCCACUUCAUGUACUCUGAGUGUGUAAAUUUAGAGCUGAGCCCUGGGUGUGGGACCCUGAUUUUCCAUUAAGGUAGCAAACGGCUAAUUAUUUAUUUAUUUUGUUUGCUUGUUUAUGUAAAUAAAUUAUCACCCUAGAGAACUGUGGUAUCAGCCACAACCUGAGAUCCCUGCAGAUCAAACCAUCUUGAUUGCCACUCCAACUUUGCCUGUCCUUAGUCUGCUGAGAUGGCUUUAGGUAUUUGUGCUUAAGUAAAAGUCAUGAAUCAAAGGUGAGUGCCCGGGUCAAUAAAUGAUCUCUCUGCUCUUAAAUUCUACAUUCGCUUCUACACAGACUCCCCAGGCCCUAUUGUUAGGCAGCUCCUGUAAUACCUUUUGUUAUAUAGGCAUUUUUUUCUCACAGGAGGACUUUUUAUUUCUCUCCCCAGGCUGUGCUGGUACCUGACUCUUGGUAUCAACACAGAGACAAUGAGGAGUCGGGGGAAUGGAGGGGCAGGUAGGUCCUGAGAAGGACAAACAUCAUCAUUUAAGGCAUCCACUUCAGUUUCAUGCAAGCUAAUAAUACCUCAACACAGGUGCUCUCUCACUGCUUUCGUGAAGAUAUGAGGCUCAAACCACACAAGUCCCUGCCCAUGCUCUGGAACCUUCCUCCAGCCCCACUCCCAUAAAACUCCAAGCCAGUCUCCUUUCCUUGAUCUUCUAAGUCAUUUUUUGGGCCUGCUUGGCAGGCAUUCUGCUUUCCCCAGAAAGCCUCCUUAUGUGAAUAAGUGAGUAAGAAGGCUUUUCUUAAUUUGGGGUGCCUGGGUGGCUCAGUUGGUUCAGCAUCUGA
Leopardus geoffroyi (Geoffroy's cat) is the source of this 1894-nucleotide long non-coding RNA. RefSeq lists it as uncharacterized. The transcript is spliced from 3 exons. NCBI's taxonomy places the organism in Eukaryota, Metazoa, Chordata, Mammalia, Carnivora, Felidae. The record is from RefSeq and is a predicted model, not a curated record.